Molecule: long non-coding RNA, 2075 nt
Organism: Triticum dicoccoides
Lineage: Eukaryota; Viridiplantae; Streptophyta; Magnoliopsida; Poales; Poaceae
Exons: 6
Source: RefSeq, a predicted model, not a curated record
UAAAGGCUGAACUAUAUCUGAUUUUUUGCUGCAUGUUUCAGGGUCAGGAUUCUGUACUAGACGUGAUGAGAUAAAAUGAGGUCUGAAUUUUUUAGCCAUGCUUUCUUAGCUCAUGAAGGCAGGAGCAUAUGUGAUUUUUCUGUACCACCUUCCCGCGGCUCUGAGGAUUUUGUCUGCUCGCUGCCUCUCCGCUAUUUAUUUGUUGUGUCUACUGCAUUGUUUGUUCUGCCACCCUUUUCCUCAGUUGCUAGCGGGGGGCCUUGGCUUAUCGUAUUGUUUGUUGCCUUCCUCUCAUAGGUUCGUUGGUAUUGUAAACCAUUUUUGUUGUAGUAAUAACUACAAUGUCAAAUAAAUUUACAUUUCACCUUGCUUCCACUAUUAUUCAAGUUUUUCCCUGCUUAUUGGUCGUACUAGCAAGAUGGUUUUUGUUUUUUUACCGUGUCUAACAUAGUGUAUUUCUACGAUUUUUCUCUGUUAAAACAUAUCCACUUCCAUGCUCUUUUCUCUAUUUUAGUACACAAUAGUAUGGCUGCAUACUACCAAUUGCAGAAAUUAUUCAUUUGCCACUAAAAUAUAUAUUUUCCUAUUCACAAAUUAAAUAACAACAAAGAUGAAGUUGGUCCCCGGAUGCCUAAUAUGUUCUUUCAUAUCCUGGUCAGUUUACCAGGUAACAGAAUUAAUACUUCUUGUUGGUUCAAUAGUCAAUACCAGUGUUGUGAGAAAAUUCCUUACGGUUGUUGUAUUUUGGUAGCUUCUUCUUUUGCAAGUGGCAAAUUACUGUUAUGUAUAUGUGGAAUCCUAUUAAAUCUGUGCAUUGGUUUCAGUCAUACUUUUCUAAAUGGAGUAUAGUUCAAGACUGUUUUGUUCAUUAAAUCAUUCCUUCUACCUUCCAAGUGUGUCGUUGGCACACCUCAAAUUACUUCUACUUAUACAUGUAUUCAAUGUUUGGCGGCUCGAUCCGCUCCUGGAUCGGGAGAGGAGGAAGGGAGGUGGGGGGCCGGCCGUCUCUGUGCCUCCUCGACGCCGAGCUGCGGCUGUUCCGUGUGUGCGCGCUCUCUCUCUCUCAGAUAAGGAGAACUUUAACCUUGCGCCCACCUAUGGCAAUAUUGCCCUCUUUAUAUUCUCCCUCGCUCAUCAGCAGCAGCGAUGGUGGCGUCAUUGUCGGCCUUGCAGCAUGUGGCAUAAUCAUGUCCAUUGCCUACUCUGGGGCAGAUCUUUGAAAGUUCCAAGUUGGUUAAUGUUGAUUUUUGCUCAUGCACAACCCAUCAUAGGAAUUAGUAGGAUCCUCUUCGAUGGAUGUAAGGACUGCAACAGGUUUCUUUCAGCAGCCUGGGGUUGUUAAGAAGAGGGUCGGGAUUGCUCUGGGCAGAUGCUUAAAUUCCUGGAUGUAAACGCACACUUGUCUCCUACACAGGCCAAAAUACUACUCCCUCCAUUCCAAAAUAUAGCGCGUCCGCGUUUUUCGAGGUCCAACUUUGACCAUAAAAUUAACCAACGAGACCGACUGCGGCGAGAGAAAAAAUUGUAUAAUUGAAAACUUCUUUCGAAUACGAAUUCACUGAUAUAACUUUUGCUCCCGCCGCAAUCGGGCUUGGUAGUUAAAUUUGUGGUUAAAGUUGAAGCACGAGGAUAGAGGAAGCACUACAUUGUGGAAUGGAGGGAGUAUUGGAGAUAAGGAUACCCGCGCUGCUGCUGUUGCGUUUGGUUAGGGAGGGGCUUCUUCGUCUGCUUUGCCGUGCGGUGGCUGUGCGGCUGCUUGUUCCUUCUUGUCCGGUGUACAUGAGAAGCUCCAAUUUUGUCGGCAAUAGCCACUGGAGAAAGUAGUGAUUGGGUUUAUAUGGGAUAGUUAUGUAUGUCCAUUGUGUGAUGGGAAAUACAAUGCAGUGGUUAAUUGUCACAUGGCUUCUCAAUAGUGGCUUCUCAGUAAAAAAAAAGUUAUAUGAUGUAUGAUAGCCAUGAGUAUGAUGAUUUUUCGGAUGGGCGGUAAGCUUCCCAUGUUUGAUGUUUUUUUUUACUUUUUAAAAUUGAACGAUGCUGGUGAGAAUAGUACUGUGGUGUACACUUCUAUUUGGUCA